CCUUACCUGGCCUUGACAUGUAGCGAACUUUCCAGAGAUGGAUUGGUGCUCGUAAGAGAACGCUAACACAGGUGCUGCAUGGCUGUCGUCAGCUCGUGUCGUGAGAUGUUGGGUUAAGUCCCGCAACGAGCGCAACCCUUGCCAAUAAUUGCCAUCAUUUAGUUGGGCACUUUAUUGGGACUGCCGGUGACAAACCGGAGGAAGGUGGGGAUGACGUCAAGUCCUCAUGGCCCUUAUGGCCAGGGCUUCACACGUAAUACAAUGGUCGGUACAGAGGGUUGCCAACCCGCGAGGGGGAGCCAAUCCCAGAAAGCCGAUCGUAGUCCGGAUUGUAGUCUGCAACUCGACUACAUGAAGUCGGAAUCGCUAGUAAUCGCGGAUCAGCAUGUCGCGGUGAAUACGUUCCCGGGCCUUGUACACACCGCCCGUCACACCAUGGGAGUGGGUUUUACCAGAAGUAGGUAGUCUAACCGCAAGGAGGACGCUUACCACGGUAGUACUCAUGACUGGGGUGAAGUCGUAACAAGGUAGCCGUAUCGGAAGGUGCGGCUGGAUCACC
Molecule: ribosomal RNA, 559 nt
Filed under: uncultured bacterium
Lineage: Bacteria
Description: bacterial SSU rRNA
Rfam family: Bacterial small subunit ribosomal RNA
Source: RNAcentral